RNAcentral lists this long non-coding RNA (651 nucleotides) under Salvia miltiorrhiza (redroot sage). RNAcentral's name for it is "long non-coding RNA (SMIL_LNC010214)". The record is from RNAcentral. Lineage: Eukaryota; Viridiplantae; Streptophyta; Magnoliopsida; Lamiales; Lamiaceae.
AAGUGAUUGAACAAAAUGACAUUCACAGAUUAUUUACAAAUCUGCAUACAAUCUGUGUACAUAUACAUAUAUCAAACAUGUUUGAGAAGAGAAGUAGAACCCCAAAGCUUAAAAUUGUUAUUCUUUGUUUUGAACUUGCUACGUCGAGUCGGGUUGCUGUUUUUGGGUGUGAGUCGAGUCGGGGUGGUGGCUGAACUAGGCGGAGAUUUCGCAGAGGGAGGCCGUGGCGCGGCGGUCCUGCCGCUGUCGUCCGGCCACGGACGGAGGGAGAGCAGGGUAGAGAGGGAGGAAGCGGCGCUCUCGCCGUUUCCAAGGAGGAAGACGUCGCGGAUAGUGUGAGGUGUGGGAUUUGGCUGUGAGAGAGGGUCGGAGACGGCGUCGCCUGAUCUACAGGCGGCGGCCGGAGAUUCGAGGGAGAAGGGCAGACCGACGGUGGUUGAUUUCAGCUGCUACGGCCGCCAGGGUCUGUAGAUAGGGGGAAAGGUGAGGGAGAUGGCCGACCUCGGCACUUCGUCGGAGGGGGAGCCGCGGCGGUCGGGAAUUCGAAAGAGGCGGCGGACUGGUGAAGCACCGAGAAAGAGAGAGAGAGAGAGAGGUGCCAGCUUGUGUGUGAGUGAUCGGACGAAAAUGGGGUGGGUUGAGGAAGAAGGG